RNAcentral lists this ribozyme (191 nucleotides) under unclassified sequences. RNAcentral's name for it is "Hairpin ribozyme 1 from viruses-like metatranscriptomes". It matches the Rfam family "Hairpin ribozyme 1 from viruses-like metatranscriptomes". The record is from Rfam by way of RNAcentral.
GAGUUGUCCGUGUGGAGUUGACCACAAGCCUAUUCGUGGUCUGUAAGGUGGCUGAAAUAAUGCCUUACGACCCGCCGUUGACUAAAGUUGCCUCUUCGGGGGUUUGACUGGACGGUGGGCGUGCCUCCAUACGGGAAGCUCUGCAGUAAAACAUCUUCAGCGAUUGGCGGCUGAAGAGCACAUUACCUGCU